RNAcentral lists this long non-coding RNA (574 nucleotides) under Helianthus annuus (common sunflower). Its description in RNAcentral is "hypothetical non coding rna". Lineage: Eukaryota; Viridiplantae; Streptophyta; Magnoliopsida; Asterales; Asteraceae. The record is from RNAcentral.
AUGCCUUUUUUUUGUUAUAUAUAUUUACACUAAAAAUUAAAAACCGAAUGGGUUCCUGGGAACCCGUACUUUCUUAAUAGGUCCGCCCCUGGUCCAUCCCACAAAACUAGAGGGUAUGGAGGAUGGUCCUAAAUGAUCCUACCCCACCAAUUUUUUUAUUUUUUUAAUCUUCUAUUUUUUUAACAUUUAGCAAAUAAAUUAACUAAAUAUUUUCAUUAAUAUUAAAAACACAUUACAUAAACUUAAAAAAGAAAACACAAACUUAAAAAAUAAAAAACAUAGACUUAAAAAAUCAUAAACUUAAUAAAAAAAACACCCCACUGAUGAUAAAUACAUUUUGCAUUUUCCUUUCCAAUUUACAACUCUGCUAGUGCCACUGCCACUUUGCAUAUCAUUCUUCUUCCCCAAAACAUUACAUCCUCUCCUAAACCCUAACAUUUCACCAUCUCGCACAAAUUCUCCCUCUCGAUUGCACGUUUUCCGGUCAAAUCACAGGUAACUUCACCGGAUUGUUCUCCUCUUUGUUGAUUUCUUUGAAAUAAAAACUGGAAUUUAAUUUUUUUUAUUAUUAACG